This 274-nucleotide ribosomal RNA is filed under the name uncultured bacterium. Its description in RNAcentral is "partial 16S ribosomal RNA". It matches the Rfam family "Bacterial small subunit ribosomal RNA", at positions 82 to 354 of the family's 1533-position model. The record is from RNAcentral.
CGUCCGCCGGCGACCGGCGCACGGGUGAGUAACACGUAUGCAACCUGGCCGCCACAGGGGGAUAACCCGCGGAAACGCGGCCUAAUACCCCGUGACGCCACCGGAGGGCAUCCUCCGGUGGCCAAAGGAGCGAUCCGGUGGCGGAUGGGCAUGCGGCGCAUUAGCUAGACGGCGGGGUGACGGCCCACCGUGGCGACGAUGCGUAGGGGUUCUGAGAGGAAGGUCCCCCACAUUGGAACUGAGACACGGUCCAAACUCCUACGGAAGGCAGCAG